UUGUACAAACUGUCAGCCAAUAGGAGCCGCAGGACUGAGCUGAGGUCUGUCUCUCAUACUGGUGGGGAGGAUUUCCCCCCUCCUCCUCCUUCUUCUCCUUUUCUUUUUUCUCCUCCCUCUCCCUCUCUCCCUCUCUCUCUCUCUCUCUCUCUCUCUCUCUCUGGGAAACAAAUGUCUGCAGCCACUUUUUUUUUCCCCUUCCACGCGCACACUCCUCACAGCCAAUGGCAGCGAGAGAGCCACUGACAACAUCCCCAUCCCGCCGCAGCGCACAGAGGCAGCGCCGCUGACAAGUGAACGGUCUAUGCCGCUGGAUGACGACAAUUAAGGGCAGUCGUUUUAUUAUUUAUUAUUAAUAAACAUUGACGCGACACGUUACAAUAUAAGGUGUUUGGCUACAAAUAAAAAGUUUUCUGAAAAUGCUUAAAAACAACAACAACAACCAUCUGCAUCACUUGAACUUGUACUUCUAAACGAUCCAUAUGCAUGAGGGAUAUAAGAGUAUAAUGGCAACACUGACACGCAGCUUUUAGACUAGGAACGAAAUGUAAUAAGGCGGAGGUUAAACGAAGAAAUGUGUUUUAAAAGUGUCCUCUCAUUCACAGAGACAGUCAGUGCGCUGCCAUGUCCCUGCCUGCACCAAACAUGAGGGGACUGUCACCGGGAGACACCGAGGAACUGGACACACACAGAAAUAUCAAGGAGGCAGUUAUGGAUCAUAACCCCUGGAUUCCUUUUUAACCUGCAACGACCUCAGAGAAGGAGCUGCAAAACAAUCCAGGAGUUUGCCGGCAAACAAACGGAUGCAAUUAAAACACGACACACACUUGCCUUCAGAUCAUCAAUGAGGGAGGCAAAGUCAAGACUGGCAGAAAACAGACGAGGACAAAUAAAAGGCGGGAGAGAAGACUCCGCUGCCUCAAGGUUAACACUGACUCAAAGGAAACGUGUGAAGAGCUCGUCUCGGCACAAUGUGGACACGUCACCGACUGUGGAUCAUAGCAGCUGCACUCGUGAUGUUUUAAUUAAUGAUUUUUAUUUAAGUGAAUUAAAACAAUUUCCCUUUUUUUCUUCUUC
This is a long non-coding RNA of Solea solea (common sole), 1077 nucleotides long. RefSeq lists it as uncharacterized. Lineage: Eukaryota; Metazoa; Chordata; Actinopteri; Pleuronectiformes; Soleidae. The transcript is spliced from 3 exons. The record is from RefSeq and is a predicted model, not a curated record.